GCAUAUCAAUAAGCGGAGGAAAAGAAACUAACAAGGAUUCCCCUAGUAACUGCGAGUGAAGCGGGAAAAGCUCAAAUUUGAAAUCUGGCAGUCUAUUUUUUCUUCUUUGGCUGUCCGAGUUGUAAUCUAGAGAAGUGCUUACCUGCACUGGACCAUGUAUAAGUCUCCUGGAAUGGAGCGUCACAGAGGGUGAGAAUCCCGUCUUUGACAUGGACCGCCAGUGUGUUGUGGUGUGCUCUCAAAGAGUCGAGUUGUUUGGGAAUGCAGCUCUAAAUGGGUGGUAAACUCCAUCUAAAGCUAAAUAUUGGCGAGAGACCGAUAGCGAACAAGUACCGUGAGGGAAAGAUGAAAAGGACUUUGGAAAGAGAGUUAAACAGUAUGUGAAAUUGUUGAAAGGGAAACGCUUGAAGUCAGUUAUGUCGGCUAGGGAUCAACCUAGCUCUUUUGCUGGGUGAAUUUCCUAUUCUGACAGGCCAACAUCAGUUUUGACUGCUGGAAAAGAGCAGGGGGAAUGUGGCACCUUCGGGUGUGUUAUAGCCCUUUGUCAUAUGUGGCAGUCGGGACUGAGGGAUGCAGCGUGCCGCGAGGCUGGGUUUCGACCACGUUCACGCUUAGGAUGUUGGCUUUUAAUGGCUUCAAUCGACCCGUCUUGAAACACGGACC
This 663-nucleotide ribosomal RNA is filed under the name Amanita fulva. RNAcentral describes it as "LSU rRNA". It matches the Rfam family "Eukaryotic large subunit ribosomal RNA", at positions 38 to 667 of the family's 3401-position model. Lineage: Eukaryota; Fungi; Basidiomycota; Agaricomycetes; Agaricales; Amanitaceae. The record is from RNAcentral.